RNAcentral lists this ribosomal RNA (466 nucleotides) under Vreelandella stevensii. Its description in RNAcentral is "partial 16S ribosomal RNA". It matches the Rfam family "Bacterial small subunit ribosomal RNA", at positions 338 to 795 of the family's 1533-position model. Lineage: Bacteria; Pseudomonadati; Pseudomonadota; Gammaproteobacteria; Oceanospirillales; Halomonadaceae. The record is from RNAcentral.
CCUACGGGUGGCAGCAGUGGGGAAUAUUGGACAAUGGGCGAAAGCCUGAUCCAGCCAUGCCGCGUGUGUGAAGAAGGCCUUCGGGUUGUAAAUCACUUUCAGUGGGGAAGAAAGCCUUGGGGCUAAUACCCUCGAGGAAGGACAUCACCCACAGAAGAAGCACCGGCUAACUCCGUGCCAGCACGCCGCGGUAAUACGGAGGGUGCGAGCGUUAAUCGGAAUUACUGGGCGUAAAGCGCGCGUAGGCGGUCUGAUAAGCCGGUUGUGAAAGCCCCGGGCUCAACCUGGGAACGGCAUCCGGAACUGUCAGGCUAGAGUGCAGGAGAGGAAGGUAGAAUUCCCGGUAUAGCGGUGAAAUGCGUAGAGAUCGGGAGGAAUACCAGUGGCGAAGGCGGCCUUCUGGACUGACACUGACGCUGAGGUGCGAAAGCGUGGGUAGCAAACAGGAUUAGAUACCCGAGUAGUC